UUUAUCUCAAAAUUUGUGUGUAGCUUGAUCUUUAAGUCUUUAAAUACCAUGCUAAUUUUCUCUUUAAUCCGACUAAUAGAUCUUUAAAUAUCAUAGAAAUCCUACCCAACCUCAAACUACCACCUUCCGAAAUUCUCUUGUGCUAACAACUAGAUAUCUCUAAACCAUGCCGUUAGAUUAUCACAAAAUUUUGUAUACACUUAGCACACCCAAUAAUCCAAAUAGUAUCAAGUUUUCAAUUGUAGGUGUCACAUCAAUUUCACAAACUAGCCAAAAUUGCUAGCUCUAAUUAUAUUAUAUAAAACUCAAAUCAUUGAUACAAACCCUGACUUUGAAUAACAAUUGUUAAGUCCUCCAAAACCCUCUCAAAACAAUUCUUAUGUUUCUAAAAAGAACUUCAAGCUAGCUCUCAAAUUCUAACCUUCGAUCUUCAAAUGAAUGCCUAAUUUGUCCUUAGCAGUCGUUUUAGUGAUUAGAGGUCUGAUUUCGACCCUGUCUCACAAAUGGUCGAUCCCCGGGUAUCAAUCUAACUUAUCCUAAGGAUUUUUUAGACCAAAUCCUAGCCUUAACUUGAUCCUAGUAUCAACCAUAUCAACCAUUUAUCUCUUCUAUCUUGAUUUUAUCAAUUUAUGGUCUUUCUAAGGUAGUAGAAGGGUCUCUAUAACUUAGAAGGUAAAAUUACUAACUAACCUUCAACCUACUUAUUAAGAUAAAAAAAUAACCUAAGAGGCUUUUAUAAAAGCCAUGUUAAGAUACUUCAAAUUAUAAUUGAACUAAGAUAAUUAGAUAUUAAUUAGAAAUUCAAUUUUAAUUAUAAUUUUAUUAUUUAAUUGUAUUACAUUACGACAUCCAUCCGCUCUUAACCUACGCAUCCUCCGGUAUGCGCCAAAUGAACCAUAUGUCAUAAUUGGCAUCACUUCAUCUGUUCAUUUUCUUUGUUAAAUCCAUCAUUUUUAUUUUCACCAUCCUCUUCAAAACAAUUGUCUUCUUCAAAAAUAUCGAUUACUUCAGCAUAAUCUUCCAUAUUGAUUUUUCUAUCUCAUCUUUUAAAAAUCUUCACUCGCUUUUCAGCAAUAGGUAUUUUCAACUUGGUACCAUCUAACUCCCUUCAUGAAUAUGUGGCAUUAUCAUGAACCAUUAUUACCUCAUAUGGUCCAAAUCAACGUUUUGAAAACUUUCACAAAGUACUAUGUUGGUUAUCCAGACUACUAUCAUAAACAAGUAUCCAAUCACCUUCUUCAAUUUCUCUAGGCUUCAAUGAAUGUUGCUUAUCAAAUCGAGUCUUAUUUCCUAACCUUAAUUUUUGUAAUUUUUUUAAUGUGAGUUCCACAACUCAUUUAAAAAGAAUAGCCAAAGGAUAUAUCAGAUACAACUGAUUUCAAUGUCAUAUAUUUGAAUACAUCUGACAAGUUAUACAAAAUUCUACAAAUAAAGUUAUAUCUCAAUACAUAUUCUUCUACCAAUAUAGUUCUUUCAUUUUAGCAAAAGUAGCUCAAAUUCCUAUAUGUCCCGCCCAUAGACUCUCAUGAAACUCAUUGAGUAGUCUUUGUUGAUCUUCUUUGGUACCUAAUACUCAUCUUGGCAUUCCAAUUCCUUUCUUUGGUCUCUUCUAUAAAAACCCUUUUUGAAGCAAAAAUCCAUAAGCCUUCUUUUUUAUUUGAUUAAAUUUUUUUGUUGAUCAAUUUUCUUGUUUAGUCAAGAUAUUCAAAUAAAGACCAAUUUCUAAUAAUUCUCUUUCAUAAAGUUCUUCAAAAAAUAUCUUAUCUUCCUUAUUAAGAUUUGAUACUAAAUAGAAUUUUGUUCUAACAUCAUCAAUAUCUUCAACUGUCUUGUCUUUUCUUUCAUAUACUGCUCAAGAUAACAUAUCUACUAUCAGAUUGUCUUUCCCUGCAACAUGUCUAAAUUUUGGAUUUAGUGAUUUAAUAUAAGCAAUCCAUCUCAACAUCGCAAUAUGUGGUAUUGUACAAUUGGUAAUCAUUACAAGUAAAGGCAAACAAUCUGUUUCAAUUACCACUAUAGUUCUAAUCAAAUAAUCCUUUUUAGCUUUCAUAAUUGAAACAACUCUCCAUAGUUCUCUUUUCACCUAAAGAUAUGCACGCUGGUGAAUACUUAAAACUUUAGCUCCAAAUUGUACUGCAAAUUUGUGUCCAUUUGAGUCAUCUUGACCUAUAGUCCAUCGAAUGGCAAUCCGACUAGUAUCCAGAGUAAGAAUUAUUGAUCUAUUGCACUUAUAAUCAACUUUUCUUAACAUUAGAGGCAAUAUCAAUAAUUUCUUCAAUCUUUGCACUACUUUAACAUGUUUUUCUUUCCAUUUAAAUUGAUAGUCUUUGCGUAAUAGUUCAUACAAUGGAUCUGCUAUGUGAGAUUAAUGAGGAAUCCAAAUAUGAUAAAAUACACAUGCACCUAAAAACCUGCAAAUCUCUGUUAAAGAACUACAAUCUUCUUUCAUUCUCCCCUUUAUAGAAACAUCAUCUAGAAAAGACAUAGUCUUCUCUAGAAUAAAAUCUCUUAAUAUCUUAUUCAUUCCAUUCAUCAUAUACGCAACUGAGUUGGUUGCGCCUUGAGGAAGAGUAUACAUUUUAACUAAUCUAAGUGGUGUCCUCAUCAGUGUCAUAUCUCUACUUCCUUCUGCAAGUUGAAAUUAGUCAUAGCUUGAAUACAAAUCACUCAUUGAAUGGAUUGCCCUUCUUACAAACGUCUCAGCAAAUUCAUCUAUUAUAGGUCCAAUUCCUACAUUCCUAAUAGUUAUUACAUUCACUGAUUGCAUAUUUUAAAUAAAGUAUAAUGAUCUAUUUUUCUUAGGCACUAAAAACCAUCAACUAGAAUAUGGUACAAAAGAGGGCUCUAAAAUCUUCAUCUUCAUCUUUUCUUUUAAUAAUUCCACCAAGCUUGGUAAAUAUAACCUUGGUACUGGAAUUGACCUUAGAUUCCAAGGUAUAUGUGGUACAAUGAAAAUAACCAUAGGUGUUACAAUAUUUGGAUCCACACACCUAAUUUCAUAAGAUUCAAAGGCAAAUAAUCUACCUUGUUUUACUAACAUGUCUUUGAAGCAAGUAAUUUCCUCGGGUAAUAAAGAACCAUCACAACCAAUCUUUAAUUCUUCAAAAGUCUCUUUAGUAAACUUGUGACUAAUAUUCUUUGGAUCUCUUAAGCUCCUUUUUCUUGAUGCUUCUCCCAUUUGUUCUUUAGAAUCUUCUAGUAAAUGUCCUGCAAUCGAUUUGACUUUCUUAUCUACUGUCUUAUAUUUUGUCUCAACUAUAACCUUUGGUACUUGAAAAGAUUCAAUCAUAUCAUAAACUGCUCUUGAAUGAAUUGCUAUUACUUUGUCAUCAUUACCUAAUCCAAUAGAUGCAAUCAAUUCCAAAGGAUCUUCUAGUCUAUUUUCUUCAUAAAUAUUAGUAAUCUUUUCAUUAUCUUCUAAUAUUCCUAGUUUAUACAAUUCUUUUUCAAUAGUACUUAAUUUCUUUGUUUCUUUUUUUUUUAAAUCAUUAAUCUUCUUAUACAUAAUGCUUUUAUUUUCAAAAAUACUAAUAAAUCCUCCAUUAAAGGCACCUAUAUCUUGUGAGAGUAUCUCUCUUUCUAUACCUCUAUAAUCUUGCUUUAUAGUAAUACCUCCCAAAAAUCCUUGAAUUCUUCAACAACCCUUGGCAAUCGAUUUUCUGUCAAUUUGUCUCAAUUCCGCUCAUGAUUUGGAGGCACAAUCAAAAACUGUAUUACCCUCUUUCCAUCCUUACUACAAAUUCGUGCAUAAGCUGAACCAUCAUCAAGUACUUUUGUUUUCAUCCAAGUUGCAAUAAUAUAUGGUUGUCCCAAAAUAAGAGGAUAAGAUGUUGCAUCUUGAAUAAAAAAAAUUUUCUCCAUUGCAACAUCACCAAUCUGAAUUUUUACAUCUGGUUAAGCACCAUAUAAUUCUCCUUCUGUAUUAUUGGCUGCCCGUAUUGCCCAUCCAUGCUCCAUGUCAAUGGACCACCUUUGUUUCAUAUAAAGAUCUUUAGACAUAAGGUUUAUCUCUGAACCAUAGUCAAUCAAAGCAACAACCAAUUCGUCCAUAUCUUCAAUCUUUACUAAUGCCUCUGUAGUUGCUCUAGCUCAAUGCUUUCGAGUAUAAUGACUUGAAACCUCUCUAUCUUUAUUAUCUUGAUCAUUAAAACAUACCCUUUGAUUAUGACUCCUCCAUUUACUUGCUAAUUGUUUGUAAAAAUUAUCGAAUACAUCUUCUUCACCUUCAUAUAUGUGUGCAUUAAUAGCAUGAUUUAAUCCAGCUUCUCCCAUUAAUUACUUCUUUUAUUUAAUACUGUCAAUAAUGACAUCAUGGAAUUCUUUCUUAGUAAUUCUUAAAAUUUCUUUCAAUGUAAACUCAACCUUAGCAUUGAACACUCGUUCUUCAAGCAUUGCCUUCAAAUCUGUUGACGCUUCAAUAUCAGAGAGUAGUUUAUAAGUUGUCAAUUUACCUUUAUCUUUCAUCUCCUUUGCUUUUUCUUCCCAUAUUAUUGAAAUAUCUUUUAUGGAUAAUUCUUAUGAAGUCGAUGCACGAGCCUUAUCUCCUCGAAUUUUCUUCUCUUGAAUCAUCAAAAUUUUCUCUCCUCUUUUCUUCUAUUAAAGCUUUAUGUUGGCUUUUAGCAAUAUAUGCAUGUAUUGACAAAGCUUCAUGUUGGCUUUUAGCAAUAUAUGCAUGUACUGAAAAAGCUUCUACAAGAUCCUCUCAAACCAUAGCACCACGAAUUGUUGCAACAGUUCUCAAUAAAGCUUCCUAUAGCAUCUUCUCUUUUUGCAUUGUAGAAAUAGCAGAAGAUCAAAGUCCACUUGAUUGAAUAUUUCCAACAAAAUUCUUUGGUACUUGUACCACUCUUUAAGUAUCAAACCUAUCAUUUUUUUUUAUUUUUUUUAUUUUUUAUUUUUGUUUUUUUGUAAAUAAUCCAAUAGCAUCUUUAAAAGCUUUCCACUUUAUUAUCAAUCCUUCUUCUUCUUCUUUAUCUUCAAGAAGAAUCUCUAAAUUCUCUUCUAAUUCUUCAUUAGUAACUUGAAGAAAUAAUUCAACCUUGUUUGAUCUCAAUGUUAACUUUUCUAUUUUCAAUAAUCAAGAAAAUUGCCUUUCAAAUUUUCUUCAUAAUUUUUUAGCUUGCAAAUUUUUGUUAGGUUGCUCAAUCCAUUCCAAGAAUGAUUUAUUGGUAACUCGAUCAAUAUCCUCCAAAAAAUACUCAUCCUUCAAUGCAUGUGAAAAUACCUCUCAAGAACUUUGAAAUUGCUCCAUAAUAGACCUUAUAUGCUUUCAUAUCUUUGGUACCAAAGCAAGCUCAAAUAAUUGAAUCAUCUCCUUCUUGGAAACGUGAUUCAAUUCCAUUUCCUGCACAUAACAUCUUAAAUAUUUGAAAAUAUCCCUCCCAUCAAAUUCAUCAAUCUUGUAAACCAUUGCUUACAAUGCUUUGGUUGCCAAAGCCACUUUGUGAUCAUUGCCCUGUUCCUGAUGCAUAAAUAAUAUAAAUGCUUGAAAAAAUUUUGUAGUAUUUGGAUCGAGGUAUAUAUCUUGUUCACCAGUAGAAAUUCCAUUUGAAGUUGUGCUUAAAGAUCCACUUGAAGCUCCAUCCAAAGCUCCAUCAAAAAGUCCAAAUUCAACUUUCUUACCUUCUUGUGCCAUCAAAUCUAAAUAACCACAAAUAUAAUCCAAUACCUUCUACCUCAAACUUUCAUGUCAGAUUCACCACUUAAGUCAUAUUACGUGUUAUUUUGCUCAAGAAUGCACCAAGCACCUAGCUGAGGAAGGUGAGAUUGUGUUUCACAAGUAGUCAAGAAAUCCUAAUAAGUUUUGUCCAUACAAGGAGAAUAUAAUCUGAAUUUCAAUUCAAAAAUGCUUAAAACACUCUUCUUAGUAUUCUUAACUAUACAUAAAUCUCAAUUAUCUUAUUGUUUUUAUAUUUAAGUAAUUUAGAUUUUUCUUGUAAGUCCCAAUCUUAAUCAGUGAGCUUUAACAAGCUAUAACAUCCAAUCCGACCGUCCACUCGAUGUGGAAUUUUGCAUGCAAUUUUCAAUGUAAGUCUUCUCUAUGCUCAAGAAUUUUUAGCCCAAUUCAACUUACAAAUUGUGAAAAAACCUCCAAAACUUGCAAUGAUGUCACUCGGCCGCUAACUUGAAAAGUGAAGCAAAAAUCCUAGCAAUGUUUUCUCCCUUUUCAACCAUUAACUUUAUCUCAAAAUUUGUGUGUAGCUUGAUCUUUAAGUCUUUAAAUACCAUGCUAAUUUUCUCUUUAAUCCGACUAAUAGAUCUUUAAAUAUCAUAGAAAUCCUACCCAACCUCAAACUACCACCUUCCGAAAUUCUCUUGUGCUAACAACUAGAUAUCUCUAAACCAUGCCGUUAGAUUAUCACAAAAUUUUGUAUACACUUAGCACACCCAAUAAUCCAAAUAGUAUCAAGUUUUCAAUUGUAGGUGUCACAUCAAUUUCACAAACUAGCCAAAAUUGCUAGCUCUAAUUAUAUUAUAUAAAACUCAAAUCAUUGAUACAAACCCUGACUUUGAAUAACAAUUGUUAAGUCCUCCAAAACCCUCUCAAA
Molecule: long non-coding RNA, 6548 nt
Filed under: Physcomitrium patens
Lineage: Eukaryota; Viridiplantae; Streptophyta; Bryopsida; Funariales; Funariaceae
Description: long non-coding RNA (PPAT_LNC014732)
Rfam family: Histone 3' UTR stem-loop (bases 724-769)
Source: RNAcentral